UUCCCCGGGCCGGCGGCCCCUGCCGCCGCCCACCCCUCCCGCGGUCCCCACGGGCUGAGGCGCCUGGGGGAGGUCCCUGCCCCAACGAAGUGGUCCAUCCAUGCGGUCGGAGCAGGCCACCUGCCUGAACCAGGUAACAUGUUAAGACGGUCAACAACGGAUCUCUUGGCUCUCGCAUCGAUGAAGAACGCAGCGAAAUGCGAUAAGUAAUGUGAAUUGCAGAAUUCAGUGAAUCAUCGAAUCUUUGAACGCACAUUGCGCCCUCUGGCAUUCCUCAGGGCAUGCCUGUUCGAGCGUCAAUAGAAACCCCCCUCACCCUCCCGGUGGUACUGGGGGAGGUGGGUCGCCCUCCAGGCGCCAGAUCCACCCCCCUGAAAAGCAUGGGCCCGAGAGACGACGGCUGCGACUGACACUCUAAGCGCUUUCUGAAGCCAGAACCAGUCCACCGCCAUGUCGAGCGGCGCACCACUGGAGCCCCCAUCCAG
RNAcentral lists this small RNA (485 nucleotides) under Tuber tomentosum. RNAcentral describes it as "eukaryotic LSU rRNA". The stretch from base 146 to 299 matches the Rfam family "5.8S ribosomal RNA". The record is from RNAcentral. Lineage: Eukaryota; Fungi; Ascomycota; Pezizomycetes; Pezizales; Tuberaceae.